Molecule: long non-coding RNA, 990 nt
Organism: Hemicordylus capensis (graceful crag lizard)
Lineage: Eukaryota; Metazoa; Chordata; Lepidosauria; Squamata; Cordylidae
Exons: 3
Source: RefSeq, a predicted model, not a curated record
AGUGUCUGUGAAGGAGAGAAUUCAGAGGCAGGACUUUGUGAGGAAAAAGGAGAACUUGAGCAGUGAGAUUAAGAAGCAGCAGAGUUUGGGCCGAGAAGAGAAAGGACAGAUUUUGGGACAACAACAGAAAAGACUCUUGAAAAGGAGAAGAUUCUGUUCUCCAGCCUCAUUUGCUCAGCCACAGAAUCAGGACCAGGAGCCAGAAGAUGGUCAGGGCCUAAGAGCUGCAGAGAAGCUUGAAGAGUGGCUGCUGCUUCACCCAGAGGUGCACCUAAGUAAUUUUGCAGCCUGGACCUAAAGACUUUUCAGAGCCCCCCAUUCCCUUAGCCACAAGGGCAGGCGGAGCAGGCCUAGCUGCACUCGGAUGCAAAUGAAGAGACAAAAGCCCCACAAUGCUGCAAACUUGUUUAUUUAAGCCCUUUUUAAUGCAUAUCGGCCGAAGCUUUCUUCAGGGGCAAACUAGGACGCAUAAUAACAUAGAGAAUGUUAAAAUAUACAAUCAUUAAACUCUUAAAACAAUAAAAUUGGAACGACCAGUUAUAAAAACUGUAAUCAUUGUACACUUGCAUGUUAUCCAAUGUAAUCCUGUCACAAAAGCACUUCUUCAAAAACAGGGCUGACUACUGUGGGUGGAACUUCCAUUGUACUGCUGCAACCAGCCUGCAAUGCUAUAUAUUUGAAGGGGCAGAUCUCAUGGAGGCAGUCAAAAACCAAAACCGGUGCCUGGAGCUGUUUCAGACAUCAGAUGAAAAUGUGAUUGUUCAGAGAAGCCUUGAGUGUAUGCUGAAUGUUGAUUGGCUGCUGACCACUGACCACCACAUUAAGAUAAUGCUAUAUUUUAUUGAUCAGGUUUUGAAAUUGUUUUAAUGUGCUGCUGAUUAUUUUUGUUUGGUUACGUAGUUGGUUUUAUUGUAUUAUUGUGAAGCUGCUCAUAGUGUUUCUUCUAAGAAGAGCAGUUAUAAUAAAUAAAGACGGUUGCAAUUUCUUCUA